Molecule: small nuclear RNA, 106 nt
Organism: Camelus dromedarius (Arabian camel)
Lineage: Eukaryota; Metazoa; Chordata; Mammalia; Artiodactyla; Camelidae
Source: Ensembl
CUGUACUUCAAUCAACAUAAAUAAAUAAAUUGGAAUCAUAAAGAGAAGAUUAGCCUGGCCCCUGCACAAGGAUGACAUGCAAAUUUGUGAAGCAUUCCAUAUUUUU